RNAcentral lists this ribosomal RNA (485 nucleotides) under uncultured bacterium. RNAcentral's name for it is "partial 16S ribosomal RNA". It matches the Rfam family "Bacterial small subunit ribosomal RNA", at positions 27 to 507 of the family's 1533-position model. The record is from RNAcentral.
GAUUGAACGCUGGCGGCAGGCCUGACACAUGCAAGUCGAGCGGAUGAAGGGAGCUUGCUCCUGGAUUCAGCGGCGGACGGGUGAGUAAUGCCUAGGAAUCUGCCUGGUAGUGGGGGAUAACGUCCGGAAACGGGCGCUAAUACCGCAUACGUCCUGAGGGAGAAAGUGGGGGAUCUUCGGACCUCACGCUAUCAGAUGAGCCUAGGUCGGAUUAGCUAGUUGGUGGGGUAAAGGCCUACCAAGGCGACGAUCCGUAACUGGUCUGAGAGGAUGAUCAGUCACACUGGAACUGAGACACGGUCCAGACUCCUACGGGAGGCAGCAGUGGGGAAUAUUGGACAAUGGGCGAAAGCCUGAUCCAGCCAUGCCGCGUGUGUGAAGAAGGUCUUCGGAUUGUAAAGCACUUUAAGUUGGGAGGAAGGGCAGUAAGUUAAUACCUUGCUGUUUUGACGUUACCAACAGAAUAAGCACCGGCUAACUUCGUG